This is a non-coding RNA of Gossypium raimondii (Peruvian cotton), 148 nucleotides long. Lineage: Eukaryota; Viridiplantae; Streptophyta; Magnoliopsida; Malvales; Malvaceae. The record is from Rfam.
UGUUACAAUUUUAUCUAUUUAUAUUAUUAAAAAUUGACAUGCUUGACAAAAUAACCUGUUAAUGACACGUUGUGUGCCACGUGUACCUCAUGAUGACGUAUAGGGACCAGUUUUUAACUAUAGAAAUGGAUGGAUGAAAUUUUUAACG